UGUCUCCUCCCCGAACCUGUGUGUCUCUCCGUGUUCCCUCGGUCUUCUGUUAGCAUUCCCAGUUUAGUUCUGUUUCGUUGUAAGGCCUGCAAUAAAGCAGUGAUUUUGAGUUCAGUUCCUGUCUCCAGCUCCUGCCCGAGGCAACACAGAACACAAGCAGAUUACUGGGUGACAUUUUCACUCAAGAAGACAGGCACUGAUUAAAAAAGUGACUGGAUAAGUAGGGAGCAGGCAGGACACUUUGAAUUUCUGCUGAGGCCAUUAAAGGUUGACAAUGUCCUCAUCUGGAUACCGUGAAGGCUAACUGAAUGGUUUUUAAUAAAUCAUAAAUAUUAAGC
Molecule: long non-coding RNA, 338 nt
Organism: Oreochromis niloticus (Nile tilapia)
Lineage: Eukaryota; Metazoa; Chordata; Actinopteri; Cichliformes; Cichlidae
Exons: 4
Source: RefSeq, a predicted model, not a curated record